Molecule: ribosomal RNA, 467 nt
Filed under: uncultured bacterium
Lineage: Bacteria
Description: partial 16S ribosomal RNA
Rfam family: Bacterial small subunit ribosomal RNA
Source: RNAcentral
GACGAACGCUGGCGGCGUGCUUAACACAUGCAAGUCGAACGGAAAGGCCUCUUUCGGGGGGUACUCGAGUGGCGAACGGGUGAGUAACACGUGAGUAACCUGCCCUUGACUUUGGGAUAACUUCAGGAAACUGGGGCUAAUACCGGAUAGGAGCUCCUGCUGCAUGGUGUGGGUUGGAGAGUUUCGGCGGUUGGGGAUGGACUCGCGGCUUAUCAGCUUGUUGUUGGGGUAGUGGCUUACCAAGGCUUUGACGGGUAGCCGGCCUGAGAGGGUGACCGGCAACAGUGGGACUGAGAUACGGCCCAGACUCCGACGGGAGGCAGAAGUGGGGAAGAGUGCACAAGGGGUGGAAGCCUGAUGCAGCAACGCCGUGUGCGGGAGGACGGUCUUGGGGUUGGAAUCCGCUUGCGCUCAUGACGAAGCUUUGUGUGACGGUAGUGGGUAAAGAAGCACCGGCUAACUACGUG